Molecule: ribosomal RNA, 533 nt
Filed under: uncultured bacterium
Lineage: Bacteria
Description: bacterial SSU rRNA
Rfam family: Bacterial small subunit ribosomal RNA
Source: RNAcentral
AUAGAUACCCAGGUAGUCCACGACCCUAAACGAUGCGAACUGGAUGUUGGGUACAUUACGGUACUCAGUGUCGAAGCCAACGCGUUAAGUUCGCCGCCUGGGGAGUACGGUCGCAAGACUGAAACUCAAAGGAAUUGACGGGGGCCCGCACAAGCGGUGGAGUAUGUGGUUUAAUUCGAUGCAACGCGAAGAACCUUACCUGGCCUUGACAUCUGUCGAAUCCUGCAGAGAUGCGGGAGUGCCGCAAGGAACGACAAGACAGGUGCUGCAUGGCUGUCGUCAGCUCGUGUCGUGAGAUGUUGGGUUAAGUCCCGCAACGAGCGCAACCCUUGUCCCUAGUUGCCAACACGUAAUGGUGGGAACUCUAGGGAGACUGCCGGUGACAAACCGGAGGAAGGUGGGGAUGACGUCAAGUCCUCAUGGCCCUUACGGCCAGGGCUACACACGUACUACAAUGGUCGGUACAGAGGGUUGCGAAGCCGCGAGGCGGAGCCAAUCCCAGAAAGCCGAUCCCAGUCCGGAUUGGAGUCUGC